ACACCCACACAUCGAUCUUGUUUUCACCUAGCUUGAGAUCUUUUCUAUUAUCGAUCUCGUUUGUAACAUCGAUCUCAUUUCAUUCAUUGUAUUCAUCCUUAUUCAUCAAUAAAAUCCAUCUUUGCCAACUAGAAACUGAUUACAUCGUUGUGUUCUAAAGAUAUCGUUGCCUACAUCAUUUUAUCUUUCCUAGAUUAAACUCUCGAUCA
RNAcentral lists this long non-coding RNA (209 nucleotides) under Brassica napus (rape). RNAcentral's name for it is "long non-coding RNA (BNAP_LNC016921)". Lineage: Eukaryota; Viridiplantae; Streptophyta; Magnoliopsida; Brassicales; Brassicaceae. The record is from RNAcentral.